Molecule: long non-coding RNA, 581 nt
Organism: Myotis brandtii (Brandt's bat)
Lineage: Eukaryota; Metazoa; Chordata; Mammalia; Chiroptera; Vespertilionidae
Exons: 3
Source: RefSeq, a predicted model, not a curated record
CCUCCUCAACCUGAUUUUGGAGAGUGUCUGGAGGAUAGCCACCUGAUGAUCUGAAGCAGUGAGGCAUCUCAGAGCUCAGUCAUUUGCCAACUGCCCGCAUGGUUUGGGACAGACUCUUGUGCCACCCCACAGUUCUUCAGAUCUUGUUGAAGACAGAGAUUCUGAUUCAGAUGAAGUCGGCGUUUGGCCUGUGCGUCUGAAGGCUGUGUGCACGCCAGUUGCCCAAGUUUCCAGGUCCCAGCACUUUGACGCCAUGUAGUUCUACGAAGCAGUUUUGGCGCAGUCAUUUUGAUUAACAUCAACCUUGCUUAUGUUGAGAGUCGUGUGUCUUCUGCCAGCUUCUGGGAAUGCAGACAUACCUCAGAGAUAUUACGGGUUUUGUUCCAGACCACCACCACCACCACAGUAAAGCGAGUCUCGCGAUUAAACGAGUCGUAACGUUUUGCUGGUGGAGCGCCUUGCCUUCAAUUUUAAAACACGCAACAUCUGUGAUGCGCAGUAAAGAGAAGCACGAGAUAUCGAGGUAUGCCCGUAGCAACCGGCUAAUUUAUUACCUUGUAGGUAGGGUAAAGGCAAAUCAA